AUCUCUCUCCCAAUUAUCAAAAGAAAUAAACCCAGCUCACCCACCCUCUUCACCUUCACGUACGAAGAAGCAAAACCCCUCUUCACCUUCACGUACGAAGAACCAAAACCCAGCGCCGUCCUCACCUUCAAUUCGCACCCAAAACGCAGCAACCCAGCGCCGUCCUCUCUCUCAACUCACCACCAGCGCCGUCCUCUCUCCCAUGAACCCUAACUCCAAAUCGAAGCUUAACUCCAAAUCGAAGCUUCUCUUUCUUUCUCCGGCCUCUACUCUCACGAAUCGAAGCUUGUCUUUCUCUCUCACAUCGAUUCAGGUACUCUUCUUUCUUUUUUAAUCCUUUUUAAAUAUUUUCCUUUUCGUGAUUUCAUUGUGUUUUAGCUCUUAGAAUUGUUACGUGGUGGUUAUGUGGUUUUGAUGGGAGAUGGGGAUGAUUAUGAUUAUGUGGUUUUGAAUUCCUCUCUAAUGAUUCUGUCUUUCUUUUGCUGUGCACCAGGGUUAUGUCAUGAAUUUGCA
Molecule: long non-coding RNA, 513 nt
Filed under: Trifolium pratense (red clover)
Lineage: Eukaryota; Viridiplantae; Streptophyta; Magnoliopsida; Fabales; Fabaceae
Description: long non-coding RNA (TPRA_LNC013627)
Source: RNAcentral